CCAGACUCCUACGGGAGGCAGCAGUGGGGAAUAUUGCACAAUGGGCGAAAGCCUGAUGCAGCAACGCCGCGUGAACGAAGAAGGCUCUUGGGUCGUAAAGUUCUGUUCUGAGGGAAGAAGAAAGUGACGGUACCUCAGGAGAAAGCCCCGGCUAACUACGUGCCAGCAGCCGCGGUAAUACGUAGGGGGCAAGCGUUAUCCGGAAUUACUGGGUGUAAAGGGUGAGUAGGCGGCAUGGUAAGCCAGAUGUGAAAGCCUUGGGCUUAACCCGAGGAUUGCAUUUGGAACUAUCAAGCUAGAGUACAGGAGAGGAAAGCGGAAUUCCUAGUGUAGCGGUGAAAUGCGUAGAUAUUAGGAAGAACACCAGUGGCGAGGGCGGCUUUCUGGACUGAAACUGACGCUGAGGCACGAAAGCGUGGGGAGCGAACAGGAUUAGAUACCCGUGUAAA
Molecule: ribosomal RNA, 449 nt
Filed under: uncultured bacterium
Lineage: Bacteria
Description: bacterial SSU rRNA
Rfam family: Bacterial small subunit ribosomal RNA
Source: RNAcentral